AUGUCCUGAUGAAUUUCAAGAAUAUAAUGGAAGAAAUUUAAUUGGAUUUGGUGAACAUACUGAUCCACAAAUUAUUUCUUUAUUAAGAUCUAAUAACACUUGUGGACUUCAAAUUUCACUUGUUGAUGGACAUUGGAUUUCUGUCCCACCUGAUCAAAAUUCAUUCUUCAUCAAUGUUGGUGAUUCAUUGCAGGUGAUGACAAAUGGGAGG
RNAcentral lists this unclassified non-coding RNA (211 nucleotides) under Hevea brasiliensis (rubber tree). The record is from RNAcentral. Lineage: Eukaryota; Viridiplantae; Streptophyta; Magnoliopsida; Malpighiales; Euphorbiaceae.